This is a long non-coding RNA of Lampris incognitus (smalleye Pacific opah), 528 nucleotides long. RefSeq lists it as uncharacterized. The record is from RefSeq and is a predicted model, not a curated record. NCBI's taxonomy places the organism in Eukaryota, Metazoa, Chordata, Actinopteri, Lampriformes, Lampridae. The transcript is spliced from 3 exons.
CUCCCUCUCUCACACGCCCCCCCCUCUCUCUCUCUGCAUGCGGGAAGGUUGGAUACGUCAGCGUGAGUGAGGGCGUUGAGUGAGCUUGAGCGUGUUUUUUUGGAUUAAUUCACGUGUUCUCUACUGCUUUCACUUUUCUUUUCUUCUCCAAAUGGUGAGCCCACGAAGACGUCCUUUGGUACCUGUUUGAGGACGUUGUGCGUCUCAUCCCAGCCCCGAGGCCGGUCACAGGUCGUCACACGCAGAUUGAGAAAGAAGUCUGGGCCAGACUAGAGAGGCAGCUUCUUAGAAAAGAAGAAGAUGGAGAGAAGCUACACUGUGCAGGAGCCAGAAACACCCACCCAUGGGCAUGCUGAAGGAGCAAGACCCCCCUCCCCCCCCGUCUCCCCGUCUCUCUCUCCCUCCCUCCCUUUCCAACUCCUUUGCUGUGAAGAAUACAUGGCACAUCCCUUCAACACAGAAAUCUCACAACGCACAACAUGCAUACACACACACACAUGCACACACAUACGGACACACGUUUCUGUU